RNAcentral lists this microRNA precursor (90 nucleotides) under Cajanus cajan (pigeon pea). Its description in RNAcentral is "miRNA gene-KK1_006178". The record is from RNAcentral. Lineage: Eukaryota; Viridiplantae; Streptophyta; Magnoliopsida; Fabales; Fabaceae.
CCAACAACUAGGUGAAACUACCAUAUGAUCUAAUUUUUCCCUAUUAAAAGAUGAAAAUUAAGAUCAUGCUGGCAGCUUCAACUAGUAGUG